CCUACGGGCGGCUGCAGUGGGGAAUAUUGGACAAUGGGGGCAACCAUGAUCCAGCCAUGCCGCGUGUGUGAAGAAGGCCCUCGGGUUGUAAAGCACUUUCAGUGAGGAAGAACGCCUGGUGGUUAAUACCCAUCAGGAAAGACAUCACUCACAGAAGAAGCACCGGCUAACUCCGUGCCAGCAGCCGCGGUAAUACGGAGGGUGCGAGCGUUAAUCGGAAUUACUGGGCGUAAAGCGCGCGUAGGUGGCUUGAUAAGCCGGUUGUGAAAGCCCCGGGCUCAACCUGGGAACGGCAUCCGGAACUGUCAAGCUAGAGUGCAGGAGAGGAAGGUAGAAUUCCCGGUGUAGCGGUGAAAUGCGUAGAGAUCGGGAGGAAUACCAGUGGCGAAGGCGGCCUUCUGGACUGACACUGACACUGAGGUGCGAAAGCGUGGGUAGCAAACAGGAUUAGAUACCCCAGUAGUC
This 465-nucleotide ribosomal RNA is filed under the name Vreelandella stevensii. RNAcentral describes it as "partial 16S ribosomal RNA". It matches the Rfam family "Bacterial small subunit ribosomal RNA", at positions 338 to 795 of the family's 1533-position model. The record is from RNAcentral. Lineage: Bacteria; Pseudomonadati; Pseudomonadota; Gammaproteobacteria; Oceanospirillales; Halomonadaceae.